GGGUUGUGAGGUUAAGCGACUAAGCGUACACGGUGGAUGCCCUGGCAGUCAGAGGCGAUGAAGGGCGUGCUAAUCUGCGAUAAGCGCCGGUAAGGUGAUAUGAACCGUUAUAACCGGCGAUACCCGAAUGGGGAAACCCAGUGUGACUCGUCACACUAUCAUUAACUGAAUCCAUAGGUUAAUGAGGCGAACCGGGGGAACUGAAACAUCUAAGUACCCCGAGGAAAAGAAAUCAACCGAGAUUCCCCCAGUAGCGGCGAGCGAACGGGGAGGAGCCCAGAGCCUGAAUCAGCAUGUGUGUUAGUGGAAGCGUCUGGAAAGGCGCGCGAUACAGGGUGACAGCCCCGUACACAAAAGCGCAUGUGCUGUGAGCUCGAUGAGUAGGGCGGGACACGUGGUAUCCUGUCUGAAUAUGGGGGGACCAUCCUCCAAGGCUAAAUACUCCUGACUGACCGAUAGUGAACCAGUACCGUGAGGGAAAGGCGAAAAGAACCCCGGCGAGGGGAGUGAAAAAGAACCUGAAACCGUGUACGUACAAGCAGUGGGAGCCCCACCACUAAGCCAGUGGUGAACUCCACAUACGCAUCCUUUGCUGAGGAUACGGUUAACGGAGCGCAAGCGACGUUCAACCGCAAAAGAAGCAGAGGGGGCUUAGUGGUGGGGUGACUGCGUACCUUUUGUAUAAUGGGUCAGCGACUUAUAUUCUGUAGCAAGGUUAACCGUAUAGGGGAGCCGGAGGGAAACCGAGUCUUAAUUGGGCGUUAAGUUGCAG
This 772-nucleotide ribosomal RNA is filed under the name Salmonella enterica subsp. enterica serovar Derby. RNAcentral's name for it is "partial 23S ribosomal RNA". It matches the Rfam family "Bacterial large subunit ribosomal RNA", at positions 1 to 705 of the family's 2925-position model. The record is from RNAcentral. Lineage: Bacteria; Pseudomonadati; Pseudomonadota; Gammaproteobacteria; Enterobacterales; Enterobacteriaceae.